CAAUAGCGUAUAUUAAAGUUGUUGCAGUUAAAAAGCUCGUAGUUGGAUUUCGGUUAAGAGCGACCGGUCCGCCGUUUGGUGUGCACUGGUUGGUUUUAACUUCCUGUAGAGGACGUGCUCUGGGUUUAACGACCUGGACUCGGAGUCUACGUGGUUACUUUGAAAAAAUUAGAGUGUUCAAAGCGGGCUUACGCUUGAAUAUUUCAGCAUGGAAUAACACUAUAGGACUCCUGUCCUAUUUCGUUGGUCUCGGGACGGGAGUAAUGAUUAAGAGGAACAGUUGAGGGCAUUCGUAUUUCAUUGUCAGAGGUGAAAUUCUUGGAUUUAUGAAAGACGAACUUCUGCGAAAGCAUUUGCCAAGGAUGUUUUCAUUAA
This 375-nucleotide ribosomal RNA is filed under the name uncultured eukaryote. RNAcentral's name for it is "partial 18S ribosomal RNA". It matches the Rfam family "Eukaryotic small subunit ribosomal RNA", at positions 592 to 976 of the family's 1831-position model. The record is from RNAcentral.